GACGAACGCUGGCGGCGUGCUUAACACAUGCAAGUCGAACGGAAAGGCCUCUUUCGGGGGGUACUCGAGUGGCGAACGGGUGAGUAACACGUGAGUAACCUGCCCUUGACUUUGGGAUAACUUCAGGAAACUGGGGCUAAUACCGGAUAGGAGCUCCUGCUGCAUGGUGGGGGUUGGAAAGUUUCGGCGGUUGGGGAUGGACUCGCGGCUUAUCAGCUUGUUGGUGGGGUAGUGGCUUACCAAGGCUUUGACGGGUAGCCGGCCUGAGAGGGUGACCGGCCACAUUGGGACUGAGAUACGGCCCAGACUCCUACGGGAGGCAGCAGAGGGGAAUAUUGCACAAUGGGUGGAAGCCUGAUGCAGCAACGCCGUGUGCGGGAUGACGGCCUUCGGGUUGUAAACCGCUUUCGCUCAUGACGAAGCUUUGUGUGACGGUAGUGGGUAAAGAAGCACCGGCUAACUACGUG
RNAcentral lists this ribosomal RNA (467 nucleotides) under uncultured bacterium. RNAcentral describes it as "partial 16S ribosomal RNA". It matches the Rfam family "Bacterial small subunit ribosomal RNA", at positions 28 to 507 of the family's 1533-position model. The record is from RNAcentral.